GUGGCACAUAUCCAUUUGUUGCUAUGACUAGUGCAGAAUUCUGCACCAUUCUUGGAUGAGUUACUGGUCACAUAAUAUCGAGGGUGUCAGCUUUUUGAGAUGAUCCUAAUUAUCCUAUAGAGUACAGACUGAAGCUAGUAUAUCAAUGGGUACGGUGAUCUGAUUCCUUUUAGUAUACACUGCUAUAAUUUUAAGUGUUUGACCUUGAUGCAAUCAGAUUGGUUGCUUUGUUUUUUGGUAACUUCUGUUUUGGACUUUAAUAGAAAAGCUCCCUUUGCCUUUUGACUUAGCGGGCUGGUUCUGAUUGAAGUUGUUGCAUAACUGUUGUGCAUGCUCUGCCUUGAUUGCUUAGCUUGAUUAGGAAUUGCAGGCUUGUGGGCUGAUGUGGCAUGUUGAAUUGUUGCAUAUACUCCAACACUAAUGCUGCAUCACUCAGUGUGUGUUCUACCCUUGUUUUAGGAAAUAUUCUCUCCGUGGAUUAAUAAGGAUCCACAGAAUACAGAAGUUGGAGGUGAAUUAUUUUCGACGCCAUUGACCUGAAACACCAUCUAGGGGAUCAUACUUAUGUCUCAGUAACUGAUAGUGGUUACUGGCAGAUAGAGCUAGAAGGUCUUGACAUUGCAAACAGUUCAACAGGUCACUGUUCGGCAGAAUACUGCAUCAUGUGAAGAGAUGGCUACAACAAUGUCUACGGCAGAAUCUGUAGCUCUUAAAGGACUACCUCAAUGCAUUGUUACUGUGAUAGCUGAGUUUGCCAGAUUCAGCAAGACUUUGAUAUUAUACUGGAGCCAUGUCCCAUGUUUGCUGAAGCCAUCCUUCAAGUCAGAAUCAGUACCCUGGGGUGCUCCUAAUAAGCUUCUUGGAGCUGAUGGCAGCUGGAUAAGGCACUGUGUCAUGUUCCUGAGUGGCUGACCUCAUGAGAUAAUAAAAUCAACCUUCAGAAGUGACAGAGAUGCCAGCUGCUCCUGUACACCCUUUCCACUCCAAGAUGAACAUUCGAAGAGGGGUACUAGAAGAAGAAUGUGCAGACAUAAUGCAGCACUUCUCCCGACUUAAAAGGAGGAAGGCAAAGGAAAAGGAAAAGGAUAUAUCGUCAUCUGAUGAAUCAGGCCAACGGUUUAGGUUUGCUUGAAAGGUUAAACCUGAUUUAUAUUCUUGUCUGAAGAUAUUGGGAUUAUGUGUGUCUGCUAUAUAAGUUGUCAAAUGUUUUCGGUUUCGCGUGGAAAAUAUCAAAUGUCUGCUAUAUAAGGUAGCUUAUUGAAUGUUUGGCACGACAGUUAACCUGUCCUAUCACUAUUU
Molecule: long non-coding RNA, 1299 nt
Organism: Spinacia oleracea (spinach)
Lineage: Eukaryota; Viridiplantae; Streptophyta; Magnoliopsida; Caryophyllales; Amaranthaceae
Exons: 5
Source: RefSeq, a predicted model, not a curated record